RNAcentral lists this ribosomal RNA (415 nucleotides) under Shigella flexneri. Its description in RNAcentral is "bacterial SSU rRNA". It matches the Rfam family "Bacterial small subunit ribosomal RNA", at positions 1 to 413 of the family's 1533-position model. Lineage: Bacteria; Pseudomonadati; Pseudomonadota; Gammaproteobacteria; Enterobacterales; Enterobacteriaceae. The record is from RNAcentral.
AAAUUGAAGAGUUUGAUCAUGGCUCAGAUUGAACGCUGGCGGCAGGCCUAACACAUGCAAGUCGAACGGUAACAGGAAGCGCUUGCUGCUUCGCUGACGAGUGGCGGACGGGUGAGUAAUGUCUGGGAAACUGCCUGAUGGAGGGGGAUAACUACUGGAAACGGUAGCUAAUACCGCAUAACGUCGCAAGACCAAAGAGGGGGACCUUCGGGCCUCUUGCCAUCGGAUGUGCCCAGAUGGGAUUAGCUUGUUGGUGGGGUAACGGCUCACCAAGGCGACGAUCCCUAGCUGGUCUGAGAGGAUGACCAGCCACACUGGAACUGAGACACGGUCCAGACUCCUACGGGAGGCAGCAGUGGGGAAUAUUGCACAAUGGGCGCAAGCCUGAUGCAGCCAUGCCGCGUGUAUGAAGAAG